RNAcentral lists this ribosomal RNA (253 nucleotides) under uncultured bacterium. RNAcentral's name for it is "partial 16S ribosomal RNA". It matches the Rfam family "Bacterial small subunit ribosomal RNA", at positions 524 to 776 of the family's 1533-position model. The record is from RNAcentral.
UACGUAGGGGGCUAGCGUUGUCCGGAUUUAUUGGGCGUAAAGAGCGUGUAGGCGGCCAGGUAGGUCUGCUGUGAAAACUCGGGGCUCAACCCCGAGCCUGCUUCCGAUACGGGCAGACUAGAGGUAUGCAGGGGAGAAUGGAAUUCCUGGUGUAGCGGUGAAAUGCGCAGAUAUCAGGAGGAACACCGGUGGCGAAGGCGGUUCUCUGGGCAUUACCUGACGCUGAGGAGCGAAAGUGUGGGGAGCGAACAGG